AGGAUGAACGCUGGCGGCGUGCCUAACACAUGCAAGUCGAACGUCCUGGUCUCGCAAGAGGCAGGGAGUGGCGGACGGGUGAGUACCACGUGGGUCAUCUACCGGUGAGGUGAGGAAUAACCGGCGAGAAAUCGCCGACAAGACCGCAUAGGCUCGAUGCAAGUCGAGCAAAGCUCUUUCGAGAGAGGGAGCGCCACACGAGGAGCCUGCGCCCGAUUAGCUAGCUGGUGGAGUAACGGUUCACCAGGGCGACGAUCGGUAGCUGGUCUGAGAGGACGAUCAGCCACACUGGGAUUGAGAACGGGCCCAGACUCCUACGGGGGGCAGCAGUGAGGAAUUUUCGUCAAUGGGGGCAACCCUGAACGAGCAACGCCGCGUGCAGGAAGAAGGUUUUCGGAUCGUAAAACUGCUUUUCUCGGGGAAGAGAAUGGACGGUACCCGAGGAAUCAGCCCCGGCUAACUACGUGCCAGCAGCCGCGGU
This 481-nucleotide ribosomal RNA is filed under the name uncultured bacterium. RNAcentral describes it as "SSU rRNA". It matches the Rfam family "Bacterial small subunit ribosomal RNA", at positions 26 to 521 of the family's 1533-position model. The record is from RNAcentral.